Molecule: microRNA precursor, 78 nt
Filed under: Callithrix jacchus (white-tufted-ear marmoset)
Lineage: Eukaryota; Metazoa; Chordata; Mammalia; Primates; Cebidae
Description: mir-3136 microRNA precursor family
Rfam family: mir-3136 microRNA precursor family
Source: Rfam by way of RNAcentral
AAUGUGAAACUGACUGAAUAGGUUGGUUCAUUUUUCUGUGACUGCACAUGGCCCUGCCUAUUCAGUCAGUUUCAUAUU